GCCCAAAAACUUCCUCUCAUCUCCCAAGCAUCUCACCUCUCCUCUCCACCAUCUGCUUGCCGCCUGCUCAACCUUACAUGGUUCCAGCCCUAAUCGACGAACCCUAAACCCUAAUCAAACAUCAUGGUCCCUAAACACAUUUGAAGAGAGACCCUGUAGAAGGUGCGAGGACAGCCAUGGGUGUCAUCGUUCUCGAUCUUUAUCGCGGCUUCAGAAUCAGCCCCUUUUAUCUCGGGAUUAAGAAUGUCCAACCCUUUAUCACAUUCUAGAUUUUAUCCUCUAAUUAAUGUUGCUAAUGCUAAAGCUGAAAACGCAUCGAUGAUAAGUGCGACGCUUUGUGCUCAAGGUGCGCUUGACCCGAAGAAGGUUGAAGGGAAGAUUUUGUUGUGCUUAAGGUGAGGCAAUAUGGGUCGGCUUGACAAGGGCAUAGUGGCUGCACGUGCUGGUGCUUCUAACAUGAUUCUUUGUAACGCUGACGCCAAUAAAGAUGAAAUAAUAGCUGAUCUUCAUGUGCUACCAGCGACACACAUCACUAUGCUGACGGGCUUUGUCUUUACGCCUACCUUAACUCUACCAUAUAACUAAGGUGUAUGUGAAGUUGUUUUCUCUCAUGGGAAGUAAAUGGAACAAGGCAACGCAGUUGAACAACUUUAUUUUAUAUGUCAUGGUGAGCUGUGAUCAAUUGCAGAACCAUGAAGCAUACACUGUAAAUGUGGUUGCUAGUUUUUUAUCUUCAUACAAGGAUCACUUGGAGCCUGCUAUUGCCAAUUUGAGGAAGCUGCUACAGAGCUUGAAAGUGUACAUUGUGAUUGCUUCAUACUUCAUUAUACUCCCUUUAUACAUUAAAAGUGUCCUAAUAAGAAUUAUGAAGCAUUGGUGAAAGUCAUCUUAUAAGUUGCAUUAGUACACUAAAUAUUCCAAAACGCACAAAAUCAUUUUAUCUAGAGUAAAAUGCCAUUUUCAUCCUUGGGGUUUGGUCAGUUUUCGACUUUCUUCCAAAGGUUUGUUUUUUCGUAUUUGGGUUCAAAAGGUUUGAAAUGUUGCCAUUUUCAUCUGGCUCAUUAACUCAAUCCAUUUUUCUCCGUUAAGUCACAUGUAUUUCUGUCUUUUUUGUUAACUUAAAGGGCAAUUCAGUCUAGCGGAUUCGGUCAGGGCUAUUUUAACUGCUUGUACAUAAAAUGAAAAAUACCGAAUUGCCCUUUAAGUUAACAAUAAGGCAAAAGUACCUAUGACUUAAAGGAGAAAAAUGGAUGGAGUUAACGAGCCGGAUGAAAAUGGAAAGAUUUCAAACCAUUUGAAUCCAGAUACGGAAAAACAAACCUUUGGGCGAAAGUCGCAAAACUGGCGAACCUCAGGGAUGACAUUUUACUCAAGUAUUUAACCGAUUUGAUCAUGAGUAUAGCAUAAUGCAAUAGGGCUUAUAUGGUAAUGUUCUGAUAAUGUGGAAUAGCAUAAUGUAAUAAGUUUGAAUAACUGAUAGUUUACUAGAGUGCAUCCCAACUUAAUAUAUGGCAGACGCAAGUUUGUAAGCUUUUAGAUUUUCCAUCUCUUGGUCCAGACUGAUCCCAAGUAUGUUACCAUCCAAGGUUUCAUUUAA
Molecule: long non-coding RNA, 1597 nt
Organism: Helianthus annuus (common sunflower)
Lineage: Eukaryota; Viridiplantae; Streptophyta; Magnoliopsida; Asterales; Asteraceae
Exons: 7
Source: RefSeq, a predicted model, not a curated record